UUUUAUGGAGAGUUUGAUCCUGGCUCAGGAUGAACGCUGGCGGCGUGCCUAAUACAUGCAAGUCGAGCGAACAGACGAGGAGCUUGCUCCUCUGACGUUAGCGGCGGACGGGUGAGUAACACGUGGAUAACCUACCUAUAAGACUGGGAUAACUUCGGGAAACCGGAGCUAAUACCGGAUAAUAUAUUGAACCGCAUGGUUCAAUAGUGAAAGACGGUUUUGCUGUCACUUAUAGAUGGAUCCGCGCCGCAUUAGCUAGUUGGUAAGGUAACGGCUUACCAAGGCAACGAUGCGUAGCCGACCUGAGAGGGUGAUCGGCCACACUGGAACUGAGACACGGUCCAGACUCCUACGGGAGGCCGCAGUAGGGAAUCUUCCGCAAUGGGC
This 387-nucleotide ribosomal RNA is filed under the name Staphylococcus epidermidis. RNAcentral describes it as "bacterial SSU rRNA". It matches the Rfam family "Bacterial small subunit ribosomal RNA", at positions 1 to 376 of the family's 1533-position model. The record is from RNAcentral. Lineage: Bacteria; Bacillati; Bacillota; Bacilli; Caryophanales; Staphylococcaceae.